RNAcentral lists this ribosomal RNA (508 nucleotides) under uncultured bacterium. RNAcentral's name for it is "partial 16S ribosomal RNA". It matches the Rfam family "Bacterial small subunit ribosomal RNA", at positions 28 to 523 of the family's 1533-position model. The record is from RNAcentral.
GACGAACGCUGGCGGCGUGCCUAAUACAUGCAAGUCGAGCGGAGUUAUUCUUUCGGAGAUAGCUUAGCGGCGGACGGGUGAGUAACACGUAGGUAACCUGCCUGUAAGACCGGGAUAACAUUCGGAAACGAAUGCUAAUACCGGAUACGCGAUUUCCUCGCAUGGGGAGAGCGGGAAAGACGGAGCAAUCUGUCACUUGCAGAUGGACCUGCGGCCCAUUAGCUAGGUGGUGGGGUAACGGCUCACCAAGGCGACGAGGCGUAGCCGACCUGAGAGGGUGAUCGGCCACACUGGGACUGAGACACGGCCCAGACUCCUACGGGAGGCAGCAGUAGGGAAUCUUCCGCAAUGGACGAAAGUCUGACGGAGCAACGCCGCGUGAGUGAUGAAGGCUUUCGGGUCGUAAAGCUCUGUUGCCAGGGAAGAACACUUGGGAGAGUAACUGCUCUCAAGGUGACGGUACCUGAGAAGAAAGCCCCGGCUAACUACGUGCCAGCAGCCGCCGUAA